Molecule: ribosomal RNA, 460 nt
Filed under: Streptococcus cristatus
Lineage: Bacteria; Bacillati; Bacillota; Bacilli; Lactobacillales; Streptococcaceae
Description: bacterial SSU rRNA
Rfam family: Bacterial small subunit ribosomal RNA
Source: RNAcentral
GACGAACGCUGGCGGCGUGCCUAAUACAUGCAAGUAGAACGCUGAAGGAGGAGCUUGCUCUUCUGGAUGAGUUGCGAACGGGUGAGUAACGCGUAGGUAACCUGCCUGGUAGCGGGGGAUAACUAUUGGAAACGAUAGCUAAUACCGCAUAACAUUGACUAUUGCAUGAUAGUCAAUUGAAAGGUGCAAAUGCACCACUACCAGAUGGACCUGCGUUGUAUUAGCUAGUUGGUGGGGUAACGGCUCACCAAGGCGACGAUACAUAGCCGACCUGAGAGGGUGAUCGGCCACACUGGGACUGAGACACGGCCCAGACUCCUACGGGAGGCAGCAGUAGGGAAUCUUCGGCAAUGGACGAAAGCCUGACCGAGCAACGCCGCGUGAGUGAAGAAGGUUUUCGGAUCGUAAAGCUCUGUUGUAAGAGAAGAACGAGUGUGAGAGGGAAAGUUCACACUGGACG